Molecule: ribosomal RNA, 368 nt
Filed under: uncultured organism
Description: bacterial LSU rRNA
Rfam family: Bacterial large subunit ribosomal RNA
Source: RNAcentral
CUUUACUGUAGCUUUGCAUUGGACUUUGAACCGGUCUGUGUAGGAUAGGUGGGAGGCUUUGAAGCGUGGUCGCUAGAUCACGUGGAGCCAACCUUGAAAUACCACCCUGGUUUGUUUGAGGUUCUAACCAUGGCCUGUGAAUCCAGGUCUGGGACCGUGCAUGGUAGGCAGUUUGACUGGGGCGGUCUCCUCCCAAAGAGUAACGGAGGAGUACGAAGGUACGCUAGGUACGGUCGGACAUCGUGCUAAUAGUGCAAUGGCAUAAGCGUGCUUGACUGCGAGACCCACAAGUCGAGCAGGUACGAAAGUAGGUCAUAGUGAUCCGGUGGUUCUGUAUGGAAGGGCCAUCGCUCAACGGAUAAAAGGUA